This 452-nucleotide ribosomal RNA is filed under the name uncultured organism. RNAcentral's name for it is "partial 16S ribosomal RNA". It matches the Rfam family "Bacterial small subunit ribosomal RNA", at positions 333 to 801 of the family's 1533-position model. The record is from RNAcentral.
ACACUCCUGCGGGAGGCAACAGUGGGGAAUAUUGGACAAUGGGCGCAAGCCUGAUCCAGCCAUGCCGCGUGAGUGAUGAAGGCCCUAGGGUUGUAAAGCUCUUUCACCGGUGAAGAUAAUGACGGUAACCGGAGAAGAAGCCCCGGCUAACUUCGUGCCAGCAGCCGCGGUAAUACGAAGGGGGCUAGCGUUGUUCGGAUUUACUGGGCGUAAAGCGCACGUAGGCGGACUAUUAAGUCAGGGGUGAAAUCCCGGGGCUCAACCCCGGAACUGCCUUUGAUACUGGUAGUCUUGAGUUCGAGAGAGGUGAGUGGAAUUCCGAGUGUAGAGGUGAAAUUCGUAGAUAUUCGGAGGAACACCAGUGGCGAAGGCGGCUCACUGGCUCGAUACUGACGCUGAGGUGCGAAAGCGUGGGGAGCAAACAGGAUUAGAAACCCCGGUAGUCCCAUGAU